GAUGAAGAACGUAGUGAAAUGCGAUAAGUAAUGUGAAUUGCAGAAUUCAGUGAAUCAUCGAAUCUUUGAACGCACAUUGCGCCCCCUGGUAUUCUGGCGGGCAUGCCUGUUCGAGCGUCAUUACAACCCUCAGGCCCCCGGGCCUGGCGUUGGGGAUCGGCGGAGCCCCCCGUGGGCACACGCCGUCCCCCAAAUGCAGUGGCGGUCCCGCCGCAGCUUCCAUCGCGUAGUAGCUAACACCUCGCGACUGGAGAGCGGCGCGGCCACGCCGUAAAACACCCAACUCUUCUGAAGUUGACCUCGAAUCAGGUAGGAAUACCCGCUGAACUUAAGCAUAUCAAUAAGCGGAGGA
This 352-nucleotide unclassified non-coding RNA is filed under the name soil metagenome. Its description in RNAcentral is "partial contains 5.8S ribosomal RNA, internal transcribed spacer 2, and large subunit ribosomal RNA". The stretch from base 1 to 120 matches the Rfam family "5.8S ribosomal RNA", at positions 35 to 154 of the family's 154-position model. The record is from RNAcentral.